This 1451-nucleotide long non-coding RNA is filed under the name Salmo salar (Atlantic salmon). Its description in RNAcentral is "lncRNA (ENSSSAG00000105522.1)". The record is from RNAcentral. Lineage: Eukaryota; Metazoa; Chordata; Actinopteri; Salmoniformes; Salmonidae.
UUUGACACUUGUAAUAAUUUUAUUGAACCAGUGCAUAACUAUGUAAUUAACAGCAGAUAUUCAAAAUGUUAAAUACAGUAACAGGGUUCUGGGUCAAUUCAGGAAGUACACUGAAAUUACAAUUACCAUCAAUACUUUUCAAUGGUUUACUUUCUGAAUUGAAAUGGAAUUGACCCCAACCCUGUAGAAUAAUGUACUGAAUGGAUUUAAUCAGAUGUACUAUAUAGUUGAUGUCCUAAUAUUUAAUAAAACAGAUAAUCUAAUGUUCUCCUGGGUUGACCAUAUUAAUGCAACAGAUUAUCAGUAGAAAAUAUACAAUAGUUCUGCUACCAGUCUCUGUCCCAACUGGUACCCUAUUCCCUAUGUAGUGCACUGCCCAUAGGACUCUGGUCAAAUGUAAUGCACCAAGUAGGGAAUAGGGUGCCAUUUAGGGUUCCACACGGUACACAUAAUACUGGCUAUAUAAGGGCGUGGCCAAACUGAUCCGUGGAGAACGGAAACCAAAUCAGAACGGAUUCAUUUUGGUCCGGUGCAGAGUGUGUCUAAUUGGCCAACGUCUCCAUCGACCAAUCAAAAAAACUCAUCUGAAACUUUCUGUCCAUGAAAAUGGAUGGGACGUUGAUGGUGGACGUUGGCGGGAACGACUCCCAUUGAGAAAGCAUUGGAUAUCAUGGAUACGUAAUAUAACAGUAUUUCUAUAAAGGCUGUAGCUGGAUAUACUGUAUAGUGGGCCCUCUAGGAUAACUCACAGGCAUCCUAGUUAAACCAAUAUUCUCAUAUACCAGACUUACUCUAGGUCAAAUAUGUCAAAUGCAUGUUUAGUUUGCCUGGUAUCUCUCCUUCAUCAGAUGCAGCAGCUAUCAUAUUAAAAUAUCAUUCAGUCUGUUUACGAUCAGGGAACUAUCAUCAACAUCAUUCAGUCUGUUUACGAUCAGGGAACUAUCAUCAAUAUCAUUCAGUAUGUUUACGAUCAGGGAACUAUCAUCAAUAUCAUUCAGUCUGUUUACGAUCUCUGUUUACGAUCAGGGAACUAUCAUCAAUAUCAUUCAGUAUGUUUACGAUCUCUGUUUACGAUCAGGGAACUAUCAUCAAUAUCAUUCAGUAUGUUUACGAUCAGGGAACUAUCAUCAGUAUCAUUCAGUAUGUUUACGAUCAGGGAACUAUCAUCAAUAUCAUUCAGUCUGUUUAUGAUCAGGGAACUAUCAUCAAUAUCAUUCAGUCUGUUUACGAUCUCUGUUUACGAUCAGGGAACUAUCAUCAAUAUCAUUCAGUCUGUUUACGAUCAGGGAACUAUCAUCAAUAUCAUUCAGUAUGUUUACGAUCAGGGAACUAUCAUAAAUAUCAUUCAGUAUGUUUACGAUCAGGGAACUAUCAUCAAUAUCAUUCAGUAUGUUUACGAUCAGGGAACUAUCAUAAAUAUCAUUCAGUAUGUUUACGAUCAGGGAACUAUC